Long non-coding RNA from Lagenorhynchus albirostris (white-beaked dolphin), 3081 nucleotides. RefSeq lists it as uncharacterized. The transcript has 6 exons. The record is from RefSeq and is a predicted model, not a curated record. Lineage: Eukaryota; Metazoa; Chordata; Mammalia; Artiodactyla; Delphinidae.
GCAGGUUCAGCGGCCACGGCUCACGGGCCCAGCCGCUCCGCGGCAUGUGGGAUCUUCCCGGACCGGGGCACGAACCCAUGUCCCCUGCAUCGGCAGGCGGACUCUCAACCACUGCGCCACCAGGGAAGCCCAACUAGUGCUCUUCUGAAUCCACUUCCUGCCACUGUCAGCUUCCCCCAGUCAGAAAAUUGCAUGGUCUCCUGUCAAAAGAACCUUGGCUACUGGCUUCUGAACCAUCUUGCUUGGCGCUGGCAUCUCUGUGACCUCCCAGGAUGGGUCUUGGCCUUACCAUCCCUUUGCCAUCCUGGGCCACCACUCCCAACUUUAACCACAGACUCAGACAGUUGCCCGAUCUCUAGAUUCUGGUGACAGCCUGCCUACUUGCUCUUCUUGCCCUCACCAAACUCACUGACCAAGCACAUCGCACAAGAAGAGGUGUCAUCACCAAGAAGAGGGUCUCUAUAUCAACUAUUAGGAAUGUCUCUGUGCAGAGCUAGGAGGAUGAGAGGCUGACCACACUCCAUGUCCCAAGACUCUUUUGAGGGUGAUAAAUGAGGGAAACGCUGCACAUGGAUGACUGGGGCUUGAGUGCCAACCAUAUCAAGGACACGUGACUUACAGGGAAGCACAGCUUCUAGUACGCCAAGUCUUACCAAGGAUGAAGCAUAGUAGUGAUACCUGCAUAUUGACAGAUUACUCUUCUUUCCUUACCUAAUGCUUUUCAGUAAGUAUUAUUAAAAGUUGCUCCAGGGCUUCCCUGGUGGCGCAGUGGUUGAGAGUCCGCCUGCCGAUACAGGGUACAUGGGUUCGUGCCCCGGUCCGGGAAGAUCCCACAUGCCGUGGAGCGGCUGGGCCCGUGAGCCAUGGCCGCUGAGCCUGCGCGUCCAGAGCCUGUGCUCCGCAACGGGAGAAGCCACAACAGCGAGAGGCCCGCGUACCGCAAAAAAAAAAAAAAAAAAAAAAAGUUGCUCCAUCAUCUUCAUAAUCAGCUUAUUUAUAUAAAAGUCCAUCUAAUAUUGAAUACAUGGAACAGGUUCAGUGUUCCCAAGUAUUGUUGGACAAUUGUCUGCUAAGAUGGCAGGAUUGGUGGCCACAAGACCACAUAACAUUCCAAGUGCUGAAAGCUACAGGAUUUCACAAAUCUCCAUUGCCACCCCUGAUACAGUUCAGUGGUGCUCUUUCAACCAUGGCUGGAUUUCAGAAUCCCCGGGGAUCCUCUCAAACCAGGCUAAUGCCUGGUCCCACCGUGCACCCAUUAAAUCAGUGUGGUGUCUACCACUCCAUCCAGAGAUGGCCACAUGUAGUGAGGUCUCAACCAGGGCCUCCAAUGCUUGCUUGGUGGCUCCACAGGAGCUGUCUUUCCAGGGAAGCCAGUCAUCUCCCUGCUAGUUCUUUCUCUUCCCUUCUCAGGAUAACUGUAACUUCUUCAGGUCCUACCUUUCAGUCGUGUAAGUGUUAGUUGACUUGUUUGAUUCGUUGCCUUGGGGGCAGAGGGUUGAGUUAGCCAUUCUCCUCAAUUCAUGGCACACUGUUAUUGUGGUUAAUGUUCAUCCCUCCUCCCUCCUUACCCUUUUCUCCACAUUUCCUUAGUUUUUACCUAAUGUCCCCUUUCUGUUCCAGGAUCCCAUCUAGGAUAUCAGGUUAUAUUUAUUCAUCAUGUUUCCUUUGGAUCCUCUUGGCUGUGGUUGUUUCUCAGACCGUCCUUGUUUUUGAAGAUUUUGACAGUGUUGAAGAUGACUGGUCAGGUGUAUUUUGUAGACUGUCUUCAGUUGGGAUUGGUCUGAUAUUCUUCUCAUGAUUAGACCUUGGUUAUGAGUUUUAGGGAGGAAGACCACAGAGGUAGAGUCAUUUUCAUCACAUGAUGUCAAGGGUGAAUACUAUCAACAUGACUUGUCACUGUUGAUGCUGAUUUGGAUCACCUGGCUGAGGUCAUGUUUGUCAGAUUUCCCCCCAUGAAGUUAUUUUUUUCCUUUUUUCCACACUGUUGUCUGUGGCAGAAUGUCACUGAAUAGAAAGUUGUACUCCACCUUCUUGAGGGUGGACCAUAUGUAUAAACUAUUUGAAAUUCUUUUCGGGGGAGAUUAUCUCUUCUCCCUAACCUUAUUUAUGUAUUUAAUCAUUUAUUUAUGUCAGUAUAAACUCAUGAAUGUUUAUUUUAUACUUUGGGUUAUAAUCCAAUACUACUUAAUUUCUUUUGUUGCUCAAAUGAAGUUUCAACUCUGGCCUCUGAUAAUGCUCCCUUGGCUUCUGUGUCCUUUUGACAUACUAUGUCUCUCUCUCUCUCUCUCUUUUCUUUUUAAAACCAUAUUCUUCCUCUCUGUCACUGUAAGAUGCUCCAGAUUUUUCUUGAGAGUUUCUUGCCCCACUCUUAGAAUCAGCCAUUUCUCCAAGGAUCCUUGUUUUCUUUUUACUGAAAAUAUCAUUAAACACCAAGAUCUUGGCACUAGGUGUGCUUGCUGUUACUGGGAUACUAUUCCUUCAGGCUCCCUCAGCUGUCAGAACAAGGAAAUAUAUGUGUGUAUAUACACAUAGCUAUAUGUAACCGUCUGUGUCUCUAUUAAGCUAAAUAUGGGUUUAUACUAAUAUCUCCAACUAUAAUCUGUUAUCACAUGGAUCAUUCACACCUCCUUCUCUUGCUUAUCUGUCACCUUUUACUCAACAGUGAGAAACUUGCCCCUCCAUCCACUUAUUUAACUGCCCUAAUCCAAUAUACAUGUAUAACAGUAUCAGAAUUAUUAACACCUACCCCCCCAUAGAAAAUAACUCUAUCAACUAGACUACAUGCUUGUGUAUAGUUUCUGUUGCCUUUACUCUUACAGAUUUUACUGAAUUCCAAAGUUACUUAGAUCACGACCUUUCUCUCCCACCCCCUUCAGUGAGCUUGUUUCAUACAUUUGUAAUGCAGUUAGAUUCAUUUGUCCCAAUCUGCAUUCCAUCCUGGGAUCCCCUGACCUCCCAAAUGAUUUUUCAACUUUAUGUAUACUAUGAUUCACUGUGCUGUAAAGUUCUAUGAGUUUUUGACAAAUGUAUAGUGUCUCUCUCAGAGACAACCACACUUGGAAUAUUGUUUUACAAUAAAAA